Molecule: ribosomal RNA, 496 nt
Filed under: uncultured bacterium
Lineage: Bacteria
Description: partial 16S ribosomal RNA
Rfam family: Bacterial small subunit ribosomal RNA
Source: RNAcentral
AUGAACGCUGGCGGCGUGCCUAAUACAUGCAAGUCGAGCGAACAGACGAGGAGCUUGCUCCUCUGACGUUAGCGGCGGACGGGUGAAUAACACGUGGAUAACCUACCUAUAAGACUGGGAUAACUUCGGGAAACCGGAGCUAAUACCGGAUAAUAUAUUGAACCGCAUGGUUCAAUAGUUAAAGACGGUUUUGCUGUCACUUAUAGAUGGAUCCGCGCCGCAUUAGCUAGUUGGUAAGGUAACGGCUUACCAAGGCAACGAUGCGUAGCCGACCUGAGAGGGUGAUCGGCCACACUGGAACUGAGACACGGUCCAGACUCCUACGGGAGGCAGCAGUAGGGAAUCUUCCGCAAUGGGCGAAAGCCUGACGGAGCAACGCCGCGUGAGUGAUGAAGGUCUUCGGAUCGUAAAACUCUGUUAUUAGGGAAGAACAAAUGUGUAAGUAACUAUGCACGUCUUGACGGUACCUAAUCAGAAAGCCACGGCUAACUACGUG